RNAcentral lists this ribosomal RNA (432 nucleotides) under uncultured bacterium. Its description in RNAcentral is "partial 16S ribosomal RNA". It matches the Rfam family "Bacterial small subunit ribosomal RNA", at positions 29 to 507 of the family's 1533-position model. The record is from RNAcentral.
ACGAACGCUGGCGGCAUGCCUAACCCAUGCCAGUCGAACGAGACCUUCGGGUCUAGUGGCGCACGGGUGCGUAACGCGUGGGAACCUGCCCUUAGGUUCGGAAUAACUCCCCGAAAGGGGUGCUAAUACCGGAUAAUGUCUUCGGACCAAAGAUUUAUCGCCUUUGGAUGGGCCCGCGUUGGAUUAGCUAGUUGGUAGGGUAAAAGCCUACCAAGGCGGCGAUCCAUAGCUGGUCUGAGAGGAUGAUCAGCCACACUGGGACUGAGACACGGCCCAGACUCCUACGGGAGGCAGCAGUGGGGAAUAUUGGACAAUGGGCGAAAGCCUGAUCCAGCAAUGCCGCGUGAGUGAUGAAGGCCUUAGGGUUGUAAAGCUCUUUUACCCGGGAUGAUAAUGACAGUACCGGGAGAAUAAGCUCCGGCUAACUCCGUG